CUGGAGGAGACGAUUCAGCCCAAAGGUGUCACCAGCCCCCCCCAGGUGAUCAAGAAAAGGGCAGAAAUAAGGGACAGAGUCUCCCACUGAUGCCAAAAUUUCCUCAAAAGCUGCAAUCCAACUAUGUCUGAGGGUAAACCCAGAGUUCUUCCUGCCCCUCUGCGUGCCCUGGCUGUUUCUUCAGGAGAACCUCAACCUGUGUGCAGGGAGAGCCCCAGGAUUCCUCUGGGCUGAUGACAGAGUGACCUGGACUACAAGACACCAUGGAUUGCACUGUGGUGCUGAACAGACAUGUCGCAAAUCCCUGAGAGAGACUCCUUGAGACAGUGAACUGUCUGACCUAAGGUCAAUGCCACAUUACAAAGGAUGUGAGUUACUCAUGUCUUUGUAGGGAAGAAAGAAAAGACAGGGAGCAAUGCACACUGGAAGCUCUUUCCAUGAAAUUUAGCACUUAAUAGACAAGAAAAAUGCAUAAUUUAAGAUUUACUUAAGGUGAAUUUUUUUUCAUUUUAGUUUCAAAAAAUAUAUAUUGUUCUUUUGGUUGGCA
This 547-nucleotide long non-coding RNA is filed under the name Corvus moneduloides (New Caledonian crow). RNAcentral's name for it is "lncRNA (ENSCMUG00000017545.1)". The record is from RNAcentral. Lineage: Eukaryota; Metazoa; Chordata; Aves; Passeriformes; Corvidae.